GUCCUGGACCAUGGCGGACCGCAGUAAAAUGCAACACCUGCAGUAAGGAGGUUUGGUGCGAGGGAGGAAGCGGCUCCAACAUGACGAAGCAUUUACCUCAACACGGCGUGAAUCUGAAGGAACGCACCGUGUUCGAUGUGCCGCUCUCUCCCAGCUACAACGACGCCCCGCAUACAGCUAACGCUAACAGUAGCAACGUCUCAGAUCAGUCCUCAGAGACGCCCCUACAGUACAGAGACUCCUUUCACUUUAGCCAUGAAGGGGAAGAUGAAUAAGGAGGAAGAGGAUGAAGGUCACCGAGUGCUGACGAGAUCUGUGGUGAAGGAACCAGAACUGAGAAACAAUACCUAAUUCUUAGCCUAGCUUACCAUAAAGACUGGCAGUAGAGGGAAACAGCUACUCUAGCUCUGUCCAACAUUAGCACUUUAAAGUUUGCUAAUUAACACAACAUAUCUUGUUUGUUUCAUCUGUACAUAAACAAAAAUGUAACUAUUUACCAAAAUGCUGAGCCAUUCCUUCGAUGGUUGGAGUCUUUAUUUUGACUCAGUGCAGCAUGGGGUUAGAAUUGAAUUUGGACUGGGGGAGUAACACAACACUACUGGCAUUACCUUAAUAAAGUUCAUAAAACUGAAAUGUUACUGUCAGACAGUGCUGGUUGCUUAUGAAACAAACAAGAGACAGACACAUGUUAGCAACGUCUGCAGAUGAACUCUUUACACACUUACAUGCAACACAGGAAACUGUCAGUUCACCAGCCACCACUUUAUUAAAACUGACUUUAUUUAACGUGUAA
Molecule: long non-coding RNA, 793 nt
Organism: Micropterus dolomieu (smallmouth bass)
Lineage: Eukaryota; Metazoa; Chordata; Actinopteri; Centrarchiformes; Centrarchidae
Exons: 2
Source: RefSeq, a predicted model, not a curated record